RNAcentral lists this transfer RNA (88 nucleotides) under Candidatus Zhuqueibacterota bacterium RBG_16_48_16. RNAcentral's name for it is "candidate division KSB1 bacterium RBG_16_48_16 tRNA-Ser". It matches the Rfam family "tRNA". Rfam says of the family: Transfer RNA (tRNA) molecules are approximately 80 nucleotides in length. Their secondary structure includes four short double-helical elements and three loops (D, anti-codon, and T loops). Lineage: Bacteria; Pseudomonadati. The record is from RNAcentral.
GGAGAGGUGCCGGAGUGGUUUAACGGGACGGUCUCGAAAACCGUUGUGCCCCUUUCGGGUACCGAGGGUUCGAAUCCCUCCCUCUCCG